This 454-nucleotide ribosomal RNA is filed under the name uncultured bacterium. RNAcentral's name for it is "bacterial SSU rRNA". It matches the Rfam family "Bacterial small subunit ribosomal RNA", at positions 364 to 832 of the family's 1533-position model. The record is from RNAcentral.
UUCGCAAUGCCCGAAAGGGUGAACGAGCGACGCCGCGUGCGGGAUGUAGGGUUUCGGCUUGUAAACCGCUUUUGCAAGGGAAAAACUUAAUGAUGGUACCUUGCGAAUAAGAGGUUACUAACUCUGUGCCAGCGGUAGCGGUAAUACAGAGACCUCAAGCGUUAUCCGGAUUUAUUGGGCGUAAAGCGCGGGUAGGCGGGUCGGCGCGUCGGCCGCUGAGAGCCCUCGGCUCAACCGGGGAAGGGGCGUCGAUACGGCCGGCCUGGAGGGGGGUAGGGGGCGUCGGAACUUCCGGUGGAGCGGUGAAAUGCGUUGAGAUCGGAAGGAACGCCCGUGGCGAAAGCGGACGCCUGGACCUUGCCUGACGCUGAGACGCGAAAGCCAGGGGAGCGAACGGGAUUAGAUACCCCGGUAGUCCUGGCCGUAAACCAUGGGCACUAAGUAGAGGGGUUUU